ACAGGGACCAAAGCAGUGCCCGUGACAGUGACCCAGCCCACGCCGCGGCCCUUUGCGGAAAGGAGAAAGAAAAGCAUCUGGGCGCAGAGCCAGGCCCUCACGCAUCCAUCGGGGCGGAGCUUCCGGCGCCAGGGGUGGGCUGACCCCCCACCUGGUCCCCGGGGGGCGGAGCCCUGUACCUGCCUGCGGGGUGGCGCACGUGGCCAGCCCUGCUUCCUGGGCCUCUGUUUACAGGGACCAUAAUUACAAGAUUAACGGAGGCGAGAUAUCCUGAGGUGGGAAGGCCCUUCCUCUCCGGGUUGCGCGCCCGUGAAUCUUCGGGCAACAGAGCUAGGGGAGGCAGGCCUGUGUGUCGUGACAGCUUCCCCCCAGGGAUGGCAGCCGGCCUUUCACGCUUCAGGAGCCUUCAGAAGCUUCUGGGAGGAGCCCCGGGUUCAGUUUAGAGAAUUACCGCUUCUCCUUUACGCAUCGAAUGGGCUCGGGCCACUCGGAUCGCAGAGGCCAGAACGUGACCCAGGUCCGGUCAGCAAUGGUCACCAGGACUGGGCCAGGGGUGGGCACCUGAGCCAGUUGGAGCCAGGAAGAGCCAGCUCUGGAACUUUGUUGGAAGCAUCUGGAAAGGGAAGCUCCCUUUGUGCCGGGCUUGCUGGGGGCACCUCCCUGCCCACCCAUGUGGCUCCAGACGUGUCUACGUGCCUACCAUGACCCUGACCGCAUCAAAGGAGUAACCAAGGUGACCCUGGGAUAUUAGACACCGGCUUCAUGCUAUGAAGUCCAUCUGUGUGGAAAGCCCCAGAAUCUCAGAGCAUCCAGCAAGCUCCUGGGAGAGAGGGAAGAGAAGGGGAGGAGAGAGAAGGGGAUUUCCGGAUUCUUCCUGAACAUUCGUGACCACCCUGGGCAGCAGCCUGACAGAUAAGUAUUCCAACUUACCAGUUGCCCCCCCUGCCCUCUCUAGGUCCGUGCAUGAAAGCGUAGAAUCUCUCACGAUCCUGUGGGAGGGAAAUUGGCGAGGCCACUUUUCAACCUCUCCGCGUCACAGACCAAGCCCUUGUCCCCAUUAUAUGGGGCCCCAGACAGGGGCGUUUCCACUCCGCUUUUUGGCACGGAAGCCAGCAUUUUGUCAGUUCCGCCAUGAGGACCUUCUGUAGGCUGGAGUUUGGCGACCUCCUCUUGAGUCCCCGUCGAUCUGGUGUCAGAAGGAGUCAGAAGGAGACUGGGGACUCUGGGCGGCUCUUCUCAGUUCUGGCCCUUUGUCAUCAUAUUUGUGAGACUUGGCCAGGGCCCCCUUUACCUGGCAGUUGGGCGGGGAGGCCGACACUGUGAUGAUGGGCCACGUUCUCCUCUCCGGGUCUGGACCCGUGUCCCGAGUCUCAGGUGCCUGUAGAGAGUGCUGGGCGCACACUGAGCGGUCCCCUGACUCUCCCGGCACGGGUCUGCCAGCUGAUGAAGAUAGCUUAGCUGUCACCAGGAGCAAAACCCGGGACAUGAUUCUGGGUCAGGGUUAGCAGGCUGACGGGGACAGAUGGGGGCAGAAAAAUAACUGAGGGUGAGCUGUAGCCCCCCCCCCCCCACAUUUCCUGUCCACUGCCUCAAACUGUGGGUUAGUAUUGUGCACUCUGAGUGAACGCAGGGCUGGAAGGAUCCCAAGGCUGAGAGAGAGAGAGAGAGAGAGAGAGAGAGGCAGGCUUCCCAUGGCUACACGAGAUGGCAGAGCUGAAUCUGACCUCUGGAUCCCUGACUCUGGUCCCUGCCUCCACUCGGCUGUUGCCAAGCUGACCUUGCCUUACUUUGUCCUGGGUCCCCUUCUGCUGUUGCUGGGGAACAGGGAGGUGGGUGAAGGAGCCCCCCCCCCCUUAUCCCGAGGACAUUCUGGGGUGGGAGGAAGGGAGGUGGAAGGGGGAUGUGCCUGGGCCCAGCCUCCCUGGCUCUGGGGGCCUUCUCGUUAGCAGAGAGUUCUGGCCAGUUCGGGCGUGGAGAGGGGGCCUGGGUGCAGUUUCCUCCUGCAGCGUGGUGGGCUUUUUUGUCUUCCAGGAUGGGAUCUACACGGAGAAGGAGCGGGGAGCUGGGCCUGGGCUGCCAACAUGUUGUCUGGGUGCAGCCAGGUGGCUCAGCCCGGCCCCGUCUCCAGGACUCCUGCCUGGUCUUCCCUUUGGAGCCCUGGUGACUCUGGACUUUGGCCACAGUGACGCAGGGAGCAGCCUUUGGUGGUUUUCUCGGACUCUGGACAAGUCCCCAAAGCCGUCAUCCUUCCACUGAGAUAAAGGCCCCUCCUGGCUGGCGCCCGGCUGAGGACAGGCCGUAGCUCCGGAGGACAGCCCGAGGGAGGGGUGUGAGGGAGCCUGGCUGCCCACUGCCCCUCUGUGUCCCACCUGGACCCCGCCUGUUGGGGCGCCCGUUGCCGUCUGGGCCUGGAGGCUGCUUCUCGACCCCAUGCCGACUCGAUUCCUAUCUGUGGCCCUGCCGGUGGCCAGCCGGAGCCCCGCCUGGGCCAGGGCCCCACUGACUGCACCCUUGCCACAGCUGGACGCUACAGGAUGGUGCAGGGACACAGGGAUGGGCGUCGGGGUGGAGCUGCAGGGAGGACAGACGGCUUUGUGGGCUCCGUCAGCUGGAGUCCGUCUUGCGUCCUUUGCCUUGAGUGGUUCUCAUUUUUGUGGGUGCUCUUUGGAUGAGGCUUUUCUGCGCUUCUCCUCUGCCUCACGGUCGCAGGGAGGAGGCAGGCAGGGUCUGGGAGGAGCCCGGGCCUCCCCCCCAGUGUUGUUGAGGUCUUGGAGGGGGGCAGUUGGAGGGGCAGAAGGUGCCCGAUCCUGAAAGGGGAGGGUUUGCAAGAGAUGAGGAAGCCCAGGCCAGGAGGGAGACGACAAACUGAGCCUUAUUCCCACCGUCCAAAGGGCCCGGGCUGGAUCCAGCCUUGUCCCCAGGCUUGAGGGGUCGGGUCAGCCCGGCCUGCUGACAGACCCCCUGUUUGCUGUUGCACUCGUCUUUCAUUCUGUCCUGGGGGGGGGGGGGGCAAAGGCAGGCAGGGCGGGCCGCACGCACAUGUGGCGCCCCCCCCGUCAAAGGCUUACCUCCAUAAGCAUCUCUCCAUUCUCCCCUCGUUCUGGCCCCUCUGGAGGGGACGGUCUGGUGCCUGCACAGGAGGGGCCCGUGGCCUUCCAUAGGCAAGCUUCAAAGCUGGGAGGGCUUUUCCCGGGGUGGAGAGGGGGCCUGUGUUAGCUCGAGCCCCUGUGACAGAAUAGCGCAGCCUGGGCGGGGCGGGGCUCAAACAGCAGAAAUGUGUUUUCUUAUAGUAGUGGCAGCUGGAAAGCCAAGAUCAAGGUGCCAGGGUUGGCUUAUCCUGAGGCCUCUCUCCUCGGCUUGCAGAUGGCCACCUUCUCGCUGUGUCCUCACGUGGCCUUUUCUCUGUGCACAUGUACGGGGUGGGUGGGGGGGAGCGGAGUGAGGCGGAGGGACAGAUGUGGUGUCACUUCCUCUUUUUAUAAGGAGGCCGGUCCUAUCUUAUUAGGGUCCCAUGCUUAUGGCCUCGUUGAACCUUAAUGUCCUCGGUAAAAGCCCCAUCUCCAAAUAUGGCCACACUGGGGGUAGCCAUAUGGCUUCAACCUACGGAUUUGGGGAGGGGGACACGAUCCAGUCCAUACAGGUAGUCACGGCAAAUGUGGAAAGCGGGAGCCAUCUUCCUUCCGGCAUCCCCAGCGCCGCGGGGUGGGGAGCGGGGGGCAUAAAGAGCAGAGGAACGGGGAGUAGGGACAGAGUGCAAGGGGCACCAGGCUGGAUGGUCCCCGUGCCUUGGGGACAAACGGAACUGGCUGGACCAGGGCAGCGAGAGGGAGUCCCAGGAGAAGGAGGGCCUUGGAAGAGCCUGGGCUUUGGAGCCCGAGGCUGCAUCUCUGCCACUUAACCUUGGGCACGUGACCUCAUCUCUGUGAGUCCGAUGUCCACUCUGAAACAGCAGCCAUCUGUUCAGCUGGGGGGGGGGGGGGGGUGGCGUGUGGGGAGGGUUCAGUGUAGGCCCCUGCCUGCCCAGGGCUGGGCUCCUGGCUGGUUGCUCACGAUACACUCCCAUCGCUUUCGGGGUUUAGAUUUAGGGCUUGUGGAGUUUUGGUGCCCUGGAGGUGCCAACCCAGCAUCUUCUGACCCAGAAGCACUUCCGUCUGACUAGCCCUUCCCCUGCCGUCCAUCUCGAAUCAGCUUGGGGAAGUGGCUGCACUGCAUGGCCUUCGGAGUAGCUCCGAAUGCCUCCCGGGGUAUCCUCUUAUCAGGAUUGAGCACCUACUCUGGGCCUUUUUCUGUGCUGGUCACUUGCAGC
Molecule: long non-coding RNA, 4306 nt
Organism: Prionailurus viverrinus (fishing cat)
Lineage: Eukaryota; Metazoa; Chordata; Mammalia; Carnivora; Felidae
Exons: 4
Source: RefSeq, a predicted model, not a curated record